This 252-nucleotide ribosomal RNA is filed under the name uncultured bacterium. RNAcentral describes it as "partial 16S ribosomal RNA". It matches the Rfam family "Bacterial small subunit ribosomal RNA", at positions 524 to 776 of the family's 1533-position model. The record is from RNAcentral.
UACGGGGGGGCAAGCGUUGUUCGGAAUUACUGGGCGUAAAGGGCUCGUCGGCGGCCAACUCAGUCAGACGUGAAAUCCCUCGGCUUAACCGGGGAACUGCAUCUGAUACUGGAUGGCUUGAGUUCGGGAGAGGGAUGUGGAAUUCCAGGUGUAGCGGUGAAAUGCGUAGAUAUCUGGAGGAACACCGGUGGCGAAGGCGGCAUCCUGGACCGACACUGACGCUGAUGAGCGAAAGCCAGGGGAGCAAACGGG